AAGGGGAAUCACUAGAACAUCUAGGUACCUCACUAAAUAGGAUAUGCAACAUAUCCAGUGCAAAUAUCAUGCUCAGUGGCGAUUUCAAUUUAGGCAAUAUUGACUGGUCAAAUUCAUCAGUAAUACCUAGCAAACCAGAUCCUUCUCUUCAUCAACACCUAUUAGACAUAUUACAAGAUCACAAUCUCACACAGGUAGUUGACAAACC
Molecule: long non-coding RNA, 208 nt
Filed under: Mytilus galloprovincialis (Mediterranean mussel)
Lineage: Eukaryota; Metazoa; Mollusca; Bivalvia; Mytilida; Mytilidae
Source: RNAcentral